This 130-nucleotide ribosomal RNA is filed under the name Vibrio navarrensis. RNAcentral's name for it is "partial 16S ribosomal RNA". It matches the Rfam family "Bacterial small subunit ribosomal RNA", at positions 1415 to 1533 of the family's 1533-position model. The record is from RNAcentral. Lineage: Bacteria; Pseudomonadati; Pseudomonadota; Gammaproteobacteria; Vibrionales; Vibrionaceae. RNAcentral also lists the same sequence under 1 other name.
CUGCACCAGAAGUAGAUAGCUUAACCUUUCGGGGAGGGCGUUUACCACGGUGUGGUUCAUGACUGGGGUGAAGUCGUAACAAGGUAGCGCUAGGGGAACCUGGCGCUGGAUCACCUCCUUAUACGAUGAU